UCGAUCCUACGGGGGGCAGCAGUGGGGAAUUUUGGACAAUGGGCGCAAGCCUGAUCCAGCUAUUCCGCGUGUGGGAUGAAGGCCCUCGGGUUGUAAACCACUUUUGUAGAGAACGAAAAGACACCUUCGAAUAAAGGGUGUUGCUGACGGUACUCUAAGAAUAAGCACCGGCUAACUACGUGCCAGCAGCCGCGGUAAUACGUAGGGUGCGAGCGUUAAUCGGAAUUACUGGGUGUAAAGGGGGCGCAGACGGCAAUGCAAGCCAGGAGUGAAAGCCCGGGGCCCAACCCCGGGACUGCUCUUGG
RNAcentral lists this ribosomal RNA (305 nucleotides) under uncultured bacterium. Its description in RNAcentral is "bacterial SSU rRNA". It matches the Rfam family "Bacterial small subunit ribosomal RNA", at positions 333 to 630 of the family's 1533-position model. The record is from RNAcentral.